RNAcentral lists this transfer RNA (77 nucleotides) under Candidatus Megaera endosymbiont of Nemacystus decipiens. Its description in RNAcentral is "tRNA-Arg". It matches the Rfam family "tRNA". From Rfam's summary of the family: Transfer RNA (tRNA) molecules are approximately 80 nucleotides in length. Their secondary structure includes four short double-helical elements and three loops (D, anti-codon, and T loops). Further hydrogen bonds mediate the characteristic L-shaped molecular structure. tRNAs have two regions of fundamental functional importance: the anti-codon, which is responsible for specific mRNA codon recognition, and the 3' end, to which the tRNAs corresponding amino acid is attached (by aminoacyl-tRNA synthetases). tRNAs cope with the degeneracy of the genetic code in two manners: having more than one tRNA (with a specific anti-codon) for a particular amino acid; and 'wobble' base-pairing, i.e. permitting non-standard base-pairing at the 3rd anti-codon position. The record is from RNAcentral. Lineage: Bacteria; Pseudomonadati; Pseudomonadota; Alphaproteobacteria; Rickettsiales; Rickettsiaceae.
GCACCUGUAGCUCAGCUGGAUAGAGUGUUACCCUCCGAAGGUAAAGGCCAUUGGUUCAAAUCCAAUCAGGUGCGCCA